GCCCUAGUGGUUCAAUGGUUAAGCACUCAGCUGCUAACUGGAAGGUUGGUGGUUUGAACCCACCCAGCGGCU
This 72-nucleotide transfer RNA is filed under the name Loxodonta africana (African savanna elephant). It matches the Rfam family "tRNA". Rfam says of the family: Transfer RNA (tRNA) molecules are approximately 80 nucleotides in length. Their secondary structure includes four short double-helical elements and three loops (D, anti-codon, and T loops). Further hydrogen bonds mediate the characteristic L-shaped molecular structure. tRNAs have two regions of fundamental functional importance: the anti-codon, which is responsible for specific mRNA codon recognition, and the 3' end, to which the tRNAs corresponding amino acid is attached (by aminoacyl-tRNA synthetases). tRNAs cope with the degeneracy of the genetic code in two manners: having more than one tRNA (with a specific anti-codon) for a particular amino acid; and 'wobble' base-pairing, i.e. permitting non-standard base-pairing at the 3rd anti-codon position. The record is from Rfam by way of RNAcentral. Lineage: Eukaryota; Metazoa; Chordata; Mammalia; Proboscidea; Elephantidae.